UACGGAGGGUGCAAGCAUUAAUCGGAAUUAUUGGGCGUAAAGGGUGCGUAGGCGGCGCGGUAAGUCGGGUGUGAAAUCUCGGAGCUUAACUCCGAAACUGCAUUCGAUACUGCCGUGCUUGAGGGCUGGAGAGGAGACUGGAAUUUACGGUGUAGCGGUGAAAUGCGUAGAUAUCUGGAGGAACACCGGUGGCGAAGGCGGCAUCCUGGACCGGCAUUGACGCUGAGGCGCGAAAGCCAGGGGAGCAAACGGG
Molecule: ribosomal RNA, 253 nt
Filed under: uncultured prokaryote
Description: partial 16S ribosomal RNA
Rfam family: Bacterial small subunit ribosomal RNA
Source: RNAcentral